GACGAACGCUGGCGGCGGGCUUAACACAUGCAAGUCGUACGGUAAGGCCCUUUCGGGGGUACACGAGUGGCGAACGGGUGAGUAAGACGGGAGUAAACUGCCCACUAUUUUUUUAUAACGCUAGUAAAGUGGUGCUAAUUCUGGAUAUAUGCUACUGCUGCAUGGGGGGGGUGGGAAAGAUCCGGGGGUUGUGCAUGGAUUCGCGGCCUAUCAGCGUGUUAGUGGGGUAGUGGCCUACCAGCGCGGCGAGGGGUAGACGGCCUGUGGGGGUGAGCGGCGGUACUGGGACUGAGAUAAGGCACAGACUCCGAAGGGAGGCAGCAGGGGGGAAUCUUGCACAAUGGGCGCAAGGCUGAUGCAGAAACGCCGCGGGCGGGAUGACCGCCUUGGGGUUGUAAAACGGUUUCAGCAGGGACGAAGGUUUUUGUGACGGUACCUGCAGAAGAAGCACCGGCUAACUACGUG
RNAcentral lists this ribosomal RNA (465 nucleotides) under uncultured bacterium. RNAcentral's name for it is "partial 16S ribosomal RNA". It matches the Rfam family "Bacterial small subunit ribosomal RNA", at positions 28 to 507 of the family's 1533-position model. The record is from RNAcentral.